UGGGGAAUUUUGGACAAUGGGCGCAAGCCUGAUCCAGCCAUGCCGCGUGCAGGAUGAAGGCCUUCGGGUUGUAAACUGCUUUUGUACGGAACGAAAAGACUCCUUCUAAUAAAGGGGGUCCAUGACGGUACCGUAAGAAUAAGCACCGGCUAACUACGUGCCAGCAGCCGCGGUAAUACGUAGGGUGCGAGCGUUAAUCGGAAUUACUGGGCGUAAAGCGUGCGCAGGCGGUUAUAUAAGACAGGUGUGAAAUCCCCGGGCUCAACCAGGGAACUGCAUUUGUGACUGUAUAGCUAGAGUACGGCAGAGGGGGAUGGAAUUCCGCGUGUAGCAGUGAAAUGCGUAGAUAUGCGGAGGAACACCGAUGGCGAAGGCAAUCCCCUGGGCCUGUACUGACGCUCAUGCGCGAAAGCGUGGGGAGCAAACA
RNAcentral lists this ribosomal RNA (427 nucleotides) under uncultured bacterium. RNAcentral describes it as "bacterial SSU rRNA". It matches the Rfam family "Bacterial small subunit ribosomal RNA", at positions 355 to 774 of the family's 1533-position model. The record is from RNAcentral.